This 130-nucleotide ribosomal RNA is filed under the name Encephalitozoon intestinalis. RNAcentral describes it as "partial small subunit ribosomal RNA". It matches the Rfam family "Microsporidia small subunit ribosomal RNA", at positions 680 to 807 of the family's 1311-position model. Lineage: Eukaryota; Fungi; Microsporidia; Unikaryonidae. The record is from RNAcentral.
UAGCAGUAAACGAUGCCGACUGGACGGGACUAUAUAGUGUUGUGCAUGAGAAAUCUUGAGUAUGUGGGUUCUGGGGAUAGUAUGCUCGCAAGAGUGAAACUUGAAGAGAUUGACGGAAGGACACCACAAG